This 1025-nucleotide ribosomal RNA is filed under the name Micropterus salmoides floridanus (Florida bass). RNAcentral describes it as "bacterial LSU rRNA". It matches the Rfam family "Bacterial large subunit ribosomal RNA", at positions 1888 to 2910 of the family's 2925-position model. The record is from RNAcentral. Lineage: Eukaryota; Metazoa; Chordata; Actinopteri; Centrarchiformes; Centrarchidae.
GCUUAGCGUAAGCGAAGGUAUGAAUUGAAGCCCCAGUAAACGGCGGCCGUAACAAUAACGGUCCUAAGGUAGCGAAAUUCCUUGUCGGGUAAGUUCCGACCUGCACGAAUGGAGUAACGAUUUCCCUACUGUCUCCACCAUGAACUCGGUGAAAUUGCAUUACGAGUAAAGAUGCUCGUUACGCGCAGCAGGACGGAAAGACCCCGGGACCUUCACUAUAGCUUGGUAUUGGUGAUCGGGACGGCUUGUGUAGGAUAGGUGGGAGACUUUGAAGCAUUCACGCCAGUGAGUGUGGAGUCAACGUUGAAAUACCACUCUGGUCGUUCUGGUUAUCUAACCUAGGUCCAUUAUCUGGAUCAGGGACAGUGCCUGAUGGGUAGUUUGACUGGGGCGGUCGCCUCCUAAAGGGUAACGGAGGCGCCCAAAGGUUCCCUCAGCCUGGUUGGCAAUCAGGUGUUGAGUGUAAGUGCACAAGGGAGCUUGACUGUGAGACUGACACGUCGAGCAGGGACGAAAGUCGGGACUAGUGAUCUGACGGUGGCUUGUGGAUGCGCCGUCACUCAACGGAUAAAAGGUACCCCGGGGAUAACAGGCUGAUCUUGCCCGAGCGCUCAUAGCGACGGCAUGGUUUGGCACCUCGAUGUCGGCUCAUCGCAUCCUGGGGCUGUAGUCGGUCCCAAGGGUAUGGCUGUUCGCCAUUUAAAGUGGUACGCGAGCUGGGUUCAGAACGUCGUGAGACAGUUCGGUCCCUAUCUGCCAUGGGCGUUGGAGAUUUGAGAGGGGCUGCUCCUAGUACGAGAGGACCGGAGUGGACGAACCUCUGGUGUUCGGGUUGUCACGCCAGUGGCACUGCCCGGUAGCUAUGUUCGGAAGCGAUAACCGCUGAAAGCAUCUAAGCGGGAAGCCUGUUCCAAGAUGAGGUUUCUCACCACCUUCGCGUGGUUAAGGCCCCCCACAGACCAUGGGGUUGAUAGGCCGGAACUGGAAGCGCAGCAAUGCGUGCAGGUGACCGGUACUAAUCGGCC